Molecule: long non-coding RNA, 406 nt
Organism: Daphnia magna
Lineage: Eukaryota; Metazoa; Arthropoda; Branchiopoda; Diplostraca; Daphniidae
Exons: 2
Source: RefSeq, a predicted model, not a curated record
GGCCUAGUGCAUGCCCGCUACUUAGGACCCUCCGUUACUUGACACAUCUCAAAUACAGUCAGUUAAAUCAAUCACCGACGUCUAGCUUAUUUCGCUGAGUGACGUCAUUACAUUAUUUUCUUCCAUGUCGACAUAUCAUAAGUUUCCACAUCAUGGACAACAUAGAAAUUCCUGUUGGGGCUUUUUUGGAACACUGGCAGAAUCAAUGCCUAGAGAUUCACGCGACGGUUGCACCAGUUUUAACAUCUCCAACUGGAUUGUAUCAUGCCAAGCAAAUGAGACAUCCUACAAUAGGCCGGACCGUUUUUUUUUUAUUUUUUAUUCUGAUUAAGUCUUUCGGGUCAAAAGAUGAAUUAGGUUAUUAAUAAUGUAUUCCUGAAUUUUCAAUAAAAUCCGUCGAAGCAUU